This 492-nucleotide ribosomal RNA is filed under the name uncultured bacterium. RNAcentral's name for it is "partial 16S ribosomal RNA". It matches the Rfam family "Bacterial small subunit ribosomal RNA", at positions 29 to 507 of the family's 1533-position model. The record is from RNAcentral.
AGCGAACGCUGGCGGUAGGCCUAACACAUGCAAGUCGAACGGCAGCACCGUAGGUGCUUGCUCUUACGGGUGGCGAGUGGCGGACGGGUGAGGUAUACAUCGGAAUCUACAUUUAAGUGGGGGCUAACGCCGGAAAAGUUACGCUAAUACCACAUACGACCUCUGGAUGAAAGCAGGGGAUCUUCGGGCCUGGCGCGAUAGAAUGUGCCGAUGUCGGAGUAGCUUGUUGGCGGGGUCAAGGCCCACCAAGACGGAGAUCGGAACCUGGUCCGAGAGGAUGGACAACUACACUGGCAGUGAGACACGGUCCAGACACCUAGGGGAGGCCGCAGUGGGAAAUACUGGACGAUGGGCGAAAGCCUGAUCCUGCGCAAUCGCGGGAAUGAUGAAGGACCUCGGGUUGGAAAACCCUUUUGUUGGGAAAGAAGAGCAGCAGUUUAAUACCGCACUGUACUGACGGUACCCAAAGAAUAAGCACCGGCUAACUUCGUG